GACGAACGCUGGCGGCGUGCCUAAUACAUGCAAGUUGAGCGCUGAAGGUUGGUACUUGUACCAACUGGAUGAGCAGCGAACGGGUGAGUAACGCGUGGGGAAUCUGCCUUUGAGCGGGGGACAACAUUUGGAAACGAAUGCUAAUACCGCAUAAAAACUUUAAACACAAGUUUUAAGUUUGAAAGAUGCAAUUGCAUCACUCAAAGAUGAUCCCGCGUUGUAUUAGCUAGUUGGUGAGGUAAAGGCUCACCAAGGCGAUGAUACAUAGCCGACCUGACAGGGUGAUCGGCCACAUUGGGACUGAGACACGGCCCAAACUCCUACGGGAGGCAGCAGUAGGGAAUCUUCGGCAAUGGACGAAAGUCUGACCGAGCAACGCCGCGUGAGUGAAGAAGGUUUUCGGAUCGUAAAACUCUGUUGGUAGAGAAGAACGUUGGUGAGAGUGGAAAGCUCAUCAAGUGACGGUAACUACCCAGAAAGGGACGGCUAACUACGUG
RNAcentral lists this ribosomal RNA (497 nucleotides) under uncultured bacterium. RNAcentral describes it as "partial 16S ribosomal RNA". It matches the Rfam family "Bacterial small subunit ribosomal RNA", at positions 28 to 507 of the family's 1533-position model. The record is from RNAcentral.